This is a non-coding RNA of Manis javanica (Malayan pangolin), 1931 nucleotides long. The record is from RefSeq and is a predicted model, not a curated record. NCBI's taxonomy places the organism in Eukaryota, Metazoa, Chordata, Mammalia, Pholidota, Manidae.
CCAAGAGCUUCCCCUCUCGGCUCUGCACCGCCUUUUCCUCUGCAGGAAGCCUGCCCUAGCUGCCUCUCCACCACCCCAGCGCAGCCUUACACGCUGUAACCACCAGGCACGUGCCCAGGGUCUGCUGAUUGCCCAGCACAUGAGAGCCCGGCAGAUUUCAGCGCAGCCCAAUUAAAGGUGCUCCAGAGGAUAAAAAUAGCGUCUGAUUUCAGAAGGGCCCCUUCCCUGAGACCCCUACAGCGCCUCCUGUGAUCAAAGCUGGGUGAGGAGGCCCCCAAGCUCAUUUUCCUUCACCUUCCGUGCACUCAAAUCCGUUUCAUCUCUGCUGUCCUGCUCCCUGCACUUAAAUCAGCUCUGUCCUUUCUGCCCAAGGAGAAACAGAAAUCAGGAGCCAGGCAGUGAUUUGUGGAAGCCUGGAUGUGGGUGAGGAGAGGGGGCAGCUGGCGAGUGAGGACAGGGUGACCUGGACACGCUCCCUUCUUGGCCACCGCAAUCACCGUGCACUGGGGGCAGGACUGGGCUUCCUCCACCAGGCCACCACGGGAGGAGGCUCUCAUUAUGUGCACUUUAAGGGGCCCUGGGUGGGCUGCAAAGUGCUGAGCCUGAGAAUGUGAAAUCGUAGCUGGGGAGCAGCCUCUCACCCAGUGCGCUCACAAUGGAGACGAGAUUGGGCCCAGAUGGUGAGCUGUGUGCUGAAAGGGGUCUGUCUCGUGCACUGCACUUGACCUACCACCGAGCCCAGUGCCAGGCACAUAGCAGGGACUCAGGUGCCAGUCUAUGGAUAGUGGACAGGGUGGAGUCUGUCUGCCAGCACAGGUCACCUGAAAUCGAUUCAAUGGGUCAUGACCAGUGUUCUUGAGAAAGGAAGAAGAAAAAAGGAAAAUAUAGACUCGAAACCACCUAGAGGUAGAGGGCCCUGGUUCAGAGCCCUCUGCUUGGUUUUACCACACCUGUGUUGUCUAAGGAGGCAUCGAACACCCCAGAGCCCCCCCAGGUCCUGCAGCACCUGCCUGCGCGCCAACCCCCACAGCCUGCCCUGGGGAGGCCGGGGGCCGACCCCCUCCUGUCUGUGCCCCGCAGCAUCCUCAGAGCUCCACUUCUCAGGACGACAAUGCAUCACGCCAUCCUGGACCGGUGCGAGCUGGCGCUUUGCCUGUUCCCACGGGAACCCAUAUCCUGGGACAGCAGGCACUUCCCCCUCAUGCUGAACCACAGGGCCGGAAAUGGGACCUGCACACAGGGAGGGUGAAAAAGAAAGCAUAUGGUACCUGCUCCCAAGAAGCUUCUAGCAUAAGGAGGGAGGAAAACCAAACACAUGGAGGCCCUCGGGUAAAGCGUGGACCCGGGAAGGUUAAAUCCUGUGCCCCAGCCCGGGCCGGGUGCUGGACUUGCAUAGGCGGGCUGUGCAGCUGCCCGGGCCCACCACCUACCAGGUAGGGAGUUGCACCACAGACCAGACCCCGGCUUCUUCAGCUCCACCAUGGGACACACUGCGCAAGCUCCAUGAGAACCUCCCGGAUGGACGGCGGCUGGCCCAUGGGGGGCAGCCAGCAGGGUCAGGAGGGCGGGCCUGGGAUUUGGUCCCUGGGAGAGGAGGGGGCUGUGGUCGGGGCCCCCAGAAGGCCUCCCAGAGUAGGAGCUUUGAGCUGGGGCCUGUGGACGGUGUUGAAAGCAGGGUGUGGCUGGGAAGCCCAGAAGGAUCUGGCCGAGCUCACUUCUCCACCAAACCCCCCAGGAUGGCGUGGAGCAUCCGCGGAGCCCCAGGGAAGCCGCAGCCCCAUCUGCUCCAGCAGAACACGGCCGCCACGCCCCCAGCCGGGCACCCCAGCCACUACCGCACCAUCGCUGUCCAUGCUUCCUGCUAAACCCCCUGGCCACCCUCACACAGCCACAGGGGCCAGGACCGGGGAGGCUGGGCCACUGCCUCUCUC